This 500-nucleotide ribosomal RNA is filed under the name uncultured bacterium. Its description in RNAcentral is "partial 16S ribosomal RNA". It matches the Rfam family "Bacterial small subunit ribosomal RNA", at positions 30 to 523 of the family's 1533-position model. The record is from RNAcentral.
AUUGAACGCUGGCGGCAUGCCUUACACAUGCAAGUCGAACGGCGGCACGGGAGCAAUCCUGGUGGCGAGUGGCGAACGGGUGAGUAAAGUAUCGGAACGUGCCCAGUCGUGGGGGAUAACGUAGCGAAAGUUACGCUAAUACCGCAUACGAUCUAUGGAUGAAAGCGGGGGAUCGCAAGACCUCGCGCGAUUGGAGCGGCCGAUAUCAGAUUAGGUAGUUGGUGGGGUAAAGGCUCACCAAGCCGACGAUCUGUAGCUGGUCUGAGAGGACGACCAGCCACACUGGGACUGAGACACGGCCCAGACUCCUACGGGAGGCAGCAGUGGGGAAUUUUGGACAAUGGGCGAAAGCCUGAUCCAGCCAUGCCGCGUGCAGGAUGAAGGCCUUCGGGUUGUAAACUGCCUUUGUACGGAACGAAAAGGUUUGGCCUAAUAAGCUGAGCUCAUGACGGUACCGUAAGAAUAAGCACCGGCUAACUACGUGUCAGCCGCCGCGGUAA